Molecule: long non-coding RNA, 1672 nt
Organism: Eriocheir sinensis (Chinese mitten crab)
Lineage: Eukaryota; Metazoa; Arthropoda; Malacostraca; Decapoda; Varunidae
Exons: 5
Source: RefSeq, a predicted model, not a curated record
CUUCGGAUCUCCGCGACAGGAUUUUCCAUUUUAAUGAGAAUUUAGUCCCGCUUAAGCAACUAAUUCUUAACAACCAGUAUCCACCAGGCUUGACUGGAAAUCAAAGGAGAAUUUUGAGAAGACAGAGGGAACAUCACAUGAUAAAAGAUAUCAACUUGUACAACUUGCCAGACUUUUGAGGUUGUAAAGACACAAGCUCCCACACUUAAACAAAUUAAGGUGUCUCAACCCAUGGAAGUCGUAGGCAUGGAUCUUAUUGGACCACUGGCGAUGACCAAGAGUGGGAGUCAGUACGUAUUGACAAUUGUGGAUUACUUCACCAAAUAUGUACUGUUGUUCCUCUUCCAAGAAAGGAUGGGACAGGUGUCAACAAUUGCAUCAAGCAGUACAUAAGCAUAUUGGGAGCACCAAAACGCCUCAUCUCUGAUCAAGGGAAGGAGUUUUGUAAUAAGAUCAACAAUGAAUAAUGAAGGCAAGGAUGUUGUCGGGCCCAGUGAAUUUACUUGUCAAGUCCUUCUGUAAUGCCAGGAUUCCCCCUCUCCUCCCCAUACUGUUAAUGGUAAUGUUGAGGGGGGCUGUUGGAAGAAGGGGCUGUGUGGCAUGGUUGGUGUCUGGUAGUGUUCUUGGGUGCACACUAAUUGGAACGGUGUUGUGGGCUGGUUACUACUGUGAUAUUGUUGUCUUUCUGUGAUAUAAUAGUGUUGGUAGCAUAUUUGCAUGCCCUAAAGAAUUUGAAAAAAUGUUUAUGUUGUUACUUAAAUUGUCUGCGAGGAAGGUUGCUAUGUGUUUGUGUUCGGCAAAUUUUAUGUUUUUGUUAAGUGUUUUUUGGGGGGCCAUCUAAUUAUCUGUUGUGUUGUAUGUCUGUAUCUGUAGCUUUUUUAUUAUUAUAAUUAGUAGUAGUAGUAGUAGUAGUAGUAGUAGGUAGAUAGUAAAUUAAUACACAAUUGUGUAAAUAACUAUAUGUAAUUUACCAAAUAUAUAUUUAUGCAAGAAAUUUUGGAGCCUUCUUUGACCCUUAAAUUAAUUAUGGAUGGUUGUUAGACUACCAAAGGAAUAUCUUGUAACAUGAAGAACUAGAGAACUAGAGAGCAUGAAGAACUGGGGUCUUCCUUAAGCCCUUGGGAGGGAAGGAAGGGGAAAAACGUGUACCAAGGUAAGUAAGAUCUUGCAGCAUGAACUGGGGUCUUCCUCCGAGCGCUUGGGAGGGGAAGAAGGGCACAGACCUGUUACCAAGGUAAGGAAUCAAAAUCAUGCUAUAUGAAGAACUGAGGACUUCCUCAGAGCCCUUGGGAGGGGAGGAAUUAUGUGAAAAUAUGUACCAGGGGGGAUCUUAUAACAAAUGAUGUCCUUAGAAGAGAAGAAAAUAUAAAUGGAUAGCUCUCUGGGACCUAUUACAUUCUUAAAUAGCCAUUUUUCCAGCAAGAUACUUGAUUCCUGUAGACAAUCAAACCUCACCCAUAGCACAGUGUACCGCAAUGUAAUUCUGAUAACCUGAGUUGUUAUACAGAAGGGUCAUAUGUAGUAGACCCCACAUAAUUAUAAGAGAAAGCAAUCUGCUUUGGGGGGGGGGGUAAGCUAUUUAUAUAGCACCACCCCUCACUUUUUUUUAGAUCAUCUUCAAAAUUCCCUUAAAGGGCUUAUAUAAAGAAAAAUAAAAAGCACAUAUGCAUGG